RNAcentral lists this long non-coding RNA (547 nucleotides) under Lathyrus oleraceus (garden pea). Its description in RNAcentral is "Pisum sativum (pea) long non-coding RNA (PSAT_LNC012344)". The record is from RNAcentral. Lineage: Eukaryota; Viridiplantae; Streptophyta; Magnoliopsida; Fabales; Fabaceae.
GAGUUAAUCCCUAGUUAACCACUUCGAGCCUAGAAGUAGGUGUUUCUUUCGGAUCUAAAAACCCUUACGCUUAACCUGGGGCAGGGUAAUGUUUAGUUGAUUCGACUAUGCAUUCGGAUUACAAGACGAAAUAUCCCGUCUAGGGAUCAAUCACAUGAUAUUCUUUGCACACGUACCAAAGUGUAGAAUCCAAAAGCUAUGAUGGUGGUUCUUCAACAACCAAUGACUUGGCAGUCACACCCCUUUAACAAAAAAAAUCGAAAAAAAGGAAAAAGCAAAAACCCGCUAAGUCGGACCCCCAAAGGAGUGACUCAGGCAAAAAUUAGGGAAAAAAACAAAAACAAAGAAAUCAAAAAGAGGUCGUUAAAUCCUUAAUCAAGGCAAAGCAAAAUAAGGUGACCACCAUAUAAGGAAUCCAAAGGUCACUGACAUCCGUGGAAAAUAAGGUGACUGCCAUUUCAAGCGAACCUUGAAUCAUCAUCUUCAUUCUUACACUGUCAAACUCUCUUAAAGGAAGAAUGCAUAUGCUAAAAUUAACUGAACGUAG